UGAGCAACCUGCCCUUAGCUCUGGGAUAACCCCGGGAAACCGGGGCUAAUACCGGAUACGAGUCCGAGCGGCAUCACACGGACUGGAAAGUUUUUCGGCUAAGGAUGGGCUCGCGGCCUAUCAGCUUGUUGGUGAGGUAAUGGCUCACCAAGGCGACGACGGGUAGCCGACCUGAGAGGGUGAUCGGCCACAUUGGAACCGAGACACGGUCCAGACUCCUACGGGAGGCAG
Molecule: ribosomal RNA, 231 nt
Filed under: uncultured bacterium
Lineage: Bacteria
Description: partial 16S ribosomal RNA
Rfam family: Bacterial small subunit ribosomal RNA
Source: RNAcentral